RNAcentral lists this ribosomal RNA (300 nucleotides) under Triticum aestivum (bread wheat). Its description in RNAcentral is "partial small subunit ribosomal RNA". Lineage: Eukaryota; Viridiplantae; Streptophyta; Magnoliopsida; Poales; Poaceae. The record is from RNAcentral.
CUGCCAUACAAUGCCAUCCUCGGGUACCCAGCCCUGGCCAAGUUCAUGGCAGUGACUCACCAUGGCUACAAUGUCCUCAAGAUGCCAGGAAGCGGUGGGGUCAUCAUGGUCCCCUGUGAAGAGAAGGAUGCGGUGUGCUCCCUCAAGAGCGCCUUCCAGGCCGCAUCGAUCGAGGACACGGACAGUAAGAGUGGAAACAUCCCUGGAGCAGCUCCCAAGAAGAAGAAGACAUCACCUGGUUCAAGGCCUCAGGAGGCAGGCACCUCCGGAGGCGCCGCAUCUGGACAUGCGCCCGUCCAA